RNAcentral lists this ribosomal RNA (280 nucleotides) under uncultured bacterium. RNAcentral's name for it is "partial 16S ribosomal RNA". It matches the Rfam family "Bacterial small subunit ribosomal RNA", at positions 506 to 784 of the family's 1533-position model. The record is from RNAcentral.
UGCCAGCAGCCGCGGUAAUACGGAGGGUGCAAGCGUUAAUCGGAAUUACUGGGCGUAAAGCGCGCGCAGGCGGUUCGGUAAGUCGGGUGUGAAAAUCCAGGGCUCAACCCUGGGACGCCACCCGAUACUGCUGUGACUAGAGUCCGGUAGAGGAGCGUGGAAUUUCUGGUGUAGCGGUGAAAUGCGCAGAUAUCAGAAGGAACACCAGCGGCGAAGGCGGCGCUCUGGGCCGGUACUGACGCUGAGGAGCGAAAGCGUGGGGAGCAAACAGGAUUAGAUA